UAUCUAUUUUCUAGAAAAUAUCUCAUGAUUUGCUCUCAUUCUUCAUCGAAUCACAUGAAGAGAUUUAGCAAGAAUGGAAUUUCUGUUCUUUAUUACUUUAACAAAAUAAGAUGAAAUUUUACCUAACUACGUCUAUGAAAUAGCCAUAUGGCUAUUUCAUAGUAUGAAUCUAGCUAAUUUUAUGCUGACCCGUAAUCGAGCAAAGAGGAAUGCUCGAUUCAGGUCAGAAGUAUUAACUAGUAUCCACGUUGUUAUUGUUAUUGCCAAGUUCGA
Molecule: long non-coding RNA, 273 nt
Filed under: Trifolium pratense (red clover)
Lineage: Eukaryota; Viridiplantae; Streptophyta; Magnoliopsida; Fabales; Fabaceae
Description: long non-coding RNA (TPRA_LNC004145)
Source: RNAcentral